GGAGAGAAAAAUCUGUAUAUUCUUAUGUAUCAAUGAGUUUGUGCAUAUGCCUAUUUAUAUAUAAGAUCAUAACUUUACAAGGAAACCUAAUUUAAUGGAAAUUAAUAUAAAUAGGAAACAAGAUAUACAUAAAGAGAAAGAAAUAAUAAUCCCCUUUCAUUAAGGAGGAAGAUAUAAUAAUCCUUAAUGUAGGGAUUGAGAUUCCAAUACUCCCCCUCAAGG
Molecule: unclassified non-coding RNA, 222 nt
Filed under: Hevea brasiliensis (rubber tree)
Lineage: Eukaryota; Viridiplantae; Streptophyta; Magnoliopsida; Malpighiales; Euphorbiaceae
Source: RNAcentral